GGUAGUGGGGGAUAACGUUCGGAAAUGGACGCUAAUACCGCAUACGUCCUACGGGAGAAAGCAGGGGACCUUCGGGCCUUGCGCUAUCAGAUGAGCCUAGGUCGGAUUAGCUAGUUGGUGAGGUAAUGGCUCACCAAGGCGACGAUCCGUAACUGGUCUGAGAGGAUGAUCAGUCACACUGGAACUGAGACACGGUCCAGACUCCUACGGGAGGCAGCAGUGGGGAAUAUUGGACAAUGGGCGAAAGCCUGAUCCAGCCAUGCCGCGUGUGUGAAGAAGGUCUUCGGAUUGUAAAGCACUUUAAGUUGGGAGGAAGGGCAGUUACCUAAUACGCGAUUGUUUUGACGUUACCGACAGAAUAAGCACCGGCUAACUCUGUGCCAGCAGCCGCGGUAAUACAGAGGGUGCAAGCGUUAAUCGGAAUUACUGGGCGUAAAGCGCGCGUAGGUGGUUAGUUAAGUUGGAUGUGAAAUCCCCGGGCUCAACCUGGGAACUGCAUUCAAAACUGACUGACUAGAGUAUGGUAGAGGGUGGUGGAAUUUCCUGUGUAGCGGUGAAAUGCGUAGAUAUAGGAAGGAACACCAGUGGCGAAGGCGACCACCUGGACUGAUACUGACACUGAGGUGCGAACAGCGUGGGGAGCAAACAGGAUUAGAUACC
RNAcentral lists this ribosomal RNA (660 nucleotides) under Pseudomonas veronii. RNAcentral's name for it is "bacterial SSU rRNA". It matches the Rfam family "Bacterial small subunit ribosomal RNA", at positions 132 to 786 of the family's 1533-position model. Lineage: Bacteria; Pseudomonadati; Pseudomonadota; Gammaproteobacteria; Pseudomonadales; Pseudomonadaceae. The record is from RNAcentral.